GUGGGGAAUAUUGGGCAAUGGGGGAAACCCUGACCCAGCAACGCCGCGUGAGUGAAGAAGGCCUUCGGGUUGUAAAGCUCUGUCAUUAGGGAAGAAGAAGUGACGGUACCUAAUGAGGAAGCCCCGGCUAACUACGUGCCAGCAGCCGCGGUAAUACGUAGGGGGCGAGCGUUGUCCGGAAUUACUGGGCGUAAAGGGUGCGUAGGCGGCGUGUUAAGUUGGAUGUGAAAUACCCGGGCUUAACCUGGGGGGUGCAUUCGAUACUGGCAGGCUAGAGUGCAGGAGAGAGAAGCGGAAUUCCUAGUGUAGCGGUGAAAUGCGUAGAUAUUAGGAGGAACACCAGUGGCGAAGGCGGCUUUCUGGACUGUAACUGACGCUGAUGCACGAAAGCGUGGGGAGCAAACAGGAUUAGAAACCCGGGUAGUCC
This 427-nucleotide ribosomal RNA is filed under the name uncultured bacterium. RNAcentral's name for it is "partial 16S ribosomal RNA". It matches the Rfam family "Bacterial small subunit ribosomal RNA", at positions 354 to 796 of the family's 1533-position model. The record is from RNAcentral.